Tachysurus fulvidraco (yellow catfish) is the source of this 419-nucleotide long non-coding RNA. RefSeq lists it as uncharacterized. The transcript has 2 exons. NCBI's taxonomy places the organism in Eukaryota, Metazoa, Chordata, Actinopteri, Siluriformes, Bagridae. The record is from RefSeq and is a predicted model, not a curated record.
CACACACACACACACACACACACACACACACACACACACAACUUUUUUUGUACAGUGAAAUCUGUUUUGGUGUACAGUGAAAUGUUAAUAACGUUUACAUUACAAUUGUUUUGGGCGGAAACUGAAACAAAACAAGUUUACUAGCUAAAUAUGCCGAACAAUUAUAUUCAGUGUUGUGUAAAUGUCCUAGCAUGUCAAUGUCCCAGUGUUUAGGAUUUAAAUAGACCAAAAUUCCUUCAUUUUUCUUUGUUUGUUAAACGUAUUCAGUCUUUAAAGUUCUGCUACGAAAAUCUUAUGUGUCCUAAUAGUAUACACAUGUUCUUAUUAAUCUAAUGGUUUUGCCCCAAGGGAAAUGAAUGUACACAAAUCUGACAAGGCUUCUGAUCUGUAACGUGUGUAAUAAAGUCUUAUCUUAUCGA